This 492-nucleotide ribosomal RNA is filed under the name uncultured bacterium. RNAcentral describes it as "partial 16S ribosomal RNA". It matches the Rfam family "Bacterial small subunit ribosomal RNA", at positions 29 to 507 of the family's 1533-position model. The record is from RNAcentral.
AGUGAACGCUGGCGGUAGGCCUAACACAUGCAAGUCGAACGGCAGCACAGUAAGAGCUUGCUCUUACGGGUGGCGAGUGGCGGACGGGUGAGGAAUACAUCGGAAUCUACUUUUUCGUGGGGGAUAACGUAGGGAAACUUACGCUAAUACCGCAUACGACCUACGGGUGAAAGCAGGGGAUCUUCGGACCUUGCGCGAUUGAAUGAGCCGAUGUCGGAUUAGCUAGUUGGCGGGGUAAAGGCCCACCAAGGCGACGAUCCGUAGCUGGUCUGAGAGGAUGAUCAGCCACACUGGAACUGAGACACGGUACAGACUACUACGCGAGGCAGCAGUGGGGAAUAUUGGACAAUGGGCGCAAGCCUGAUCCAGCCAUACCGCGUGGGUGAAGAAGGCCUUCGGGUUGUAAAGCCCUUUUGUUGGGAAAGAAAAGCAGCAGGUUAAUACCCCGCUGUUCUGACGGUACCCAAAGAAUAAGCACCGGCUAACUUCAUG